AUUGAACGCUGGCGGCAGGCCUAACACAUGCAAGUCGAACGAGUGGCGGACGGGUGAGUAAUGUCUGGGAAACUGCCCGAUGGAGGGGGAUAACUACUGGACACGGUAGCUAAUACCGCAUACCAUCGGAUGUGCCUAGAUGGGAUUAGCUAGUAGGUGGGGUAACGGCUCACCUAGGCGACGAUCCCUAUCUGGUCUGAGAGGAUUACCAGCCAAACUGGAACUGAGGCACGGUCCAGACUCCUACGGGAGGCAGCAGUGGGGAAUAUUGCACAAUGGGAGCAAGCCGGAUGCAGCAAUGCCGCGUGUAUGAAGAAGGCCUUCGGGUUGUAAAGUACUUUCAGCGAGGAGGCGUUACUCGCAGAAGAAGCACCGGCUAACUCCGUGCCAGCAGCCGCGGUAAUUC
Molecule: ribosomal RNA, 406 nt
Filed under: uncultured bacterium
Lineage: Bacteria
Description: partial 16S ribosomal RNA
Rfam family: Bacterial small subunit ribosomal RNA
Source: RNAcentral